Non-coding RNA from Caenorhabditis elegans, 74 nucleotides. The record is from Ensembl. Lineage: Eukaryota; Metazoa; Nematoda; Chromadorea; Rhabditida; Rhabditidae.
GUGGCGGUGUUUGCGUACAUCAGAUGAGUGGGAGCCAGAAUUGUACAAAAAUUGGCCGGACAAUUAUCGAUUUU